Non-coding RNA from Parelaphostrongylus tenuis, 72 nucleotides. NCBI's taxonomy places the organism in Eukaryota, Metazoa, Nematoda, Chromadorea, Rhabditida, Metastrongylidae. The record is from the annotation of a GenBank genome assembly.
GGCCUCAGUGGUGCAGUGGUAGCACACCGUCUAGGGGUGGGUGAAACGCGAAUUCAACUCCCGUCUAGGUCG